RNAcentral lists this ribosomal RNA (440 nucleotides) under uncultured bacterium. RNAcentral describes it as "partial 16S ribosomal RNA". It matches the Rfam family "Bacterial small subunit ribosomal RNA", at positions 338 to 795 of the family's 1533-position model. The record is from RNAcentral.
CCUACGGGAGGCAGCAGUAGGGAAUAUUGCUCAAUGGGGGAAACCCUGAAGCAGCAACGCCGCGUGGAGGAUGAAGGUUUUAGGAUUGUAAACUCCUUUUGUUAGAGAAGAUUAUGACGGUAUCUAACGAAUAAGCACCGGCUAACUACGUGCCAGCAGCCGCGGUAAUACGGAGGGUGCAAGCGUUACUCGGAAUCACUGGGCGUAAAGAGUGCGUAGGCGGGGUAAUAAGUCAGAUGUGAAAUCCUGUAGCUUAACUACAGACCUGCAUUUGAAACUGUUACUCUUGAGUGUGGGAGAGGUAUGUGGAAUUCUUGGUGUAGCGGUAAAAUCCAUAGAGAUCAAGAGGAAUACUCAUUGCGAAGGCGACCUGCUGGAACAUUACUGACGCUGAUGCACGAAAGCGUAGGUAGCAAACAGGAUUAGAUACCCUUGUAGUC